This 72-nucleotide transfer RNA is filed under the name Colletotrichum orbiculare MAFF 240422. Its description in RNAcentral is "tRNA-Pro (TGG) (tRNA-Pro-TGG-1-1)". It matches the Rfam family "tRNA". From Rfam's summary of the family: Transfer RNA (tRNA) molecules are approximately 80 nucleotides in length. Their secondary structure includes four short double-helical elements and three loops (D, anti-codon, and T loops). The record is from RNAcentral. Lineage: Eukaryota; Fungi; Ascomycota; Sordariomycetes; Glomerellales; Glomerellaceae.
GGCUCGAUGGUCUAGAGGUAUGAUUCUCGCUUUGGGUGCGAGAGGUCCCGGGUUCGAUCCCCGGUCGAGCCC